Molecule: ribosomal RNA, 379 nt
Filed under: Eryx johnii
Lineage: Eukaryota; Metazoa; Chordata; Lepidosauria; Squamata; Erycidae
Description: partial small subunit ribosomal RNA
Rfam family: Bacterial small subunit ribosomal RNA
Source: RNAcentral
ACAUGGUUGCUCGCCAAACAACUACGAGUGAAAACUUAAAACUUAAAGGACUUGACGGUACUUCACCCAACCUAGAGGAGCCUGUCUACUAACCGAUAAUCCACGAUUAACCCAACCACUCCUGGCCACCCAGCCUAUAUACCGCCGUCGCCAGCCCACCUUGUGAAAGAAACCAAGUGGGCCAAACAGUAAUCCACUAACACGACAGGUCGAGGUGUAGCUUAUGAAGUGGAAAAAGAUGGGCUACAUUUUCUAACACAGACAAAACGGACAAAGUUAUGAAAUUAACCCAAAAGGCGGAUUUAGCAGUAAGCUAAGGACACAAUACUAAGCUGAAACCAAUGCAAUGAAGUGCGUACACACCGCCGGUCACCCUCCA